Molecule: ribosomal RNA, 221 nt
Filed under: Salmonella enterica subsp. enterica serovar Albany
Lineage: Bacteria; Pseudomonadati; Pseudomonadota; Gammaproteobacteria; Enterobacterales; Enterobacteriaceae
Description: partial 16S ribosomal RNA
Rfam family: Bacterial small subunit ribosomal RNA
Source: RNAcentral
UUAAAUUGAAGAGUUUGAUCAUGGCUCAGAUUGAACGCUGGCGGCAGGCCUAACACAUGCAAGUCGAACGGUAACAGGAAGCAGCUUGCUGCUUUGCUGACGAGUGGCGGACGGGUGAGUAAUGUCUGGGAAACUGCCUGAUGGAGGGGGAUAACUACUGGAAACGGUGGCUAAUACCGCAUAACGUCGCAAGACCAAAGAGGGGGACCUUCGGGCCUCUU